UACAUUUUUCUUGCGGGAGGUCUCUUUCUGUGGUUCAUUGCGUUCCAGCGCAGGUAACGGAAGACGGUGAAAAUCCGUCGCGGACGCGCCGCUGUAACCGGUAGACGAUGGACCGGACACUGGCUGCCCAGGCAGCCGGGAAGUCCCCAUCACAUGUCGCACCGGAAGCCAGAAGACGACCUGAUGCUGCCGUAUUCC
RNAcentral lists this non-coding RNA (198 nucleotides) under Akkermansia muciniphila. RNAcentral also lists the same sequence under 1 other name. Lineage: Bacteria; Pseudomonadati; Verrucomicrobiota; Verrucomicrobiia; Verrucomicrobiales; Akkermansiaceae. The record is from RNAcentral.